This 468-nucleotide ribosomal RNA is filed under the name uncultured bacterium. RNAcentral's name for it is "partial 16S ribosomal RNA". It matches the Rfam family "Bacterial small subunit ribosomal RNA", at positions 28 to 507 of the family's 1533-position model. The record is from RNAcentral.
GACGAACGCUGGCGGCGUGCUUAACACAUGCAAGUCGAACGGAAAGGCCCUGCUUUUGUGGGGUGCUCGAGUGGCGAACGGGUGAGUAACACGUGAGUAACCUGCCCUUGACUUUGGGAUAACUUCAGGAAACUGGGGCUAAUACCGGAUAGGAGCUCCUGCUGCAUGGUGGGGGUUGGAAAGUUUCGGCGGUUGGGGAUGGACUCGCGGCUUAUCAGCUUGUUGGUGGGGUAGUGGCUUACCAAGGCUUUGACGGGUAGCCGGCCUGAGAGGGUGACCGGCGACAUGGGGACUGAGAUACGGACCAGACUCCUAUGUGAGGCAGCAGGGGGGAAUAUUGCACAAUGGGCGGAAGCCUGAUGCAGCAACGCCGCGUGCGGGAUGACGGCCUUCGGGUGGUAAACCGCUUUCGCCGGUGACGAAGCGUGAGUGACGGUAAUGGGUAAAGAAGCACCGGCUAACUACGUG